This 31-nucleotide non-coding RNA is filed under the name Rattus norvegicus (Norway rat). The record is from RNAcentral. Lineage: Eukaryota; Metazoa; Chordata; Mammalia; Rodentia; Muridae.
UCCCACAUUAACCACUAAUUAAGAAAAUGCC